GAUGAACGCUGGCGGCGUGCCUAACACAUGCAAGUCGAACGAACAGACACGAAGCUUUCUCCUUUGACGUUAGCGGCGGGCGGGUGAGUAACGCGUGCAUCACCUACCUAUAUUUCGUGGAUGACUUCGGAAAACCGGAUCUAAUACCAGAUAAUAUGUUCAACCGCAGGAAUCAAUAGUGCAUUACUCCUUUGGUGUCUCGUAUAGCCGGAUCCGCGCUGCAUUGGCUAGUUGGUAAGGUAACGGCUUACCAAGGCACCGAUGCGUAGCCGACCUGAGAGGGUGAUCGGCCACACUGGAACUGAGACACGGUCCAGACUCCUACGGGAGGCAGCAGUAGGGAAUCUUCGGCAAUGGGCGAAAGCUUGACCGAGCAAGGCCGCGUGAGUGAUGAAGGUCUUCGGAUCGUAAAACCCUGUUAUUGGGGAAGAACAAAUGUGUAAGAAUCUAUGGACGUUUUGACGGUACCUAAAGAAAAAGCAACGGCUAACUACGUG
Molecule: ribosomal RNA, 497 nt
Filed under: uncultured bacterium
Lineage: Bacteria
Description: partial 16S ribosomal RNA
Rfam family: Bacterial small subunit ribosomal RNA
Source: RNAcentral